Molecule: ribosomal RNA, 436 nt
Filed under: uncultured bacterium
Lineage: Bacteria
Description: partial 16S ribosomal RNA
Rfam family: Bacterial small subunit ribosomal RNA
Source: RNAcentral
GCGAACGCUGGCGGCAGGCUUCACACAUGCAAGUCGAGCGGGCAUCCUUGUGGUGUCAGCGGCAGACGGGUGCGUAACGCGUGGGAACGUGCCCUUCGGUUCGGAAUAACUCAGGGAAACUUGAGCUAAUACCGGAUACGUGCGAGAGCAGAAAGGUUUAUCUGCCGAAGGAUCGGCCCGCGUCUGAUUAGCUAGUUGGUGAGGUUAUGGCUCACCAAGGCGACGAUCAGUAGCUGGUCUGAGAGGAUGAUCAGCCACACUGGGACUGAGACACGGCCCAGACUCCUACGGGAGGCAGCAGUGGGGAAUAUUGGACAAUGGGGGCAACCCUGAUCCAGCCAUGCCGCGUGAGUGAUGACGGCCUUAGGGUUGUAAAGCUCUUUUCUCCGGGACGAUAAUGACGGUACCGGAGGAAUAAGCCCCGGCUAACUUCGUG